This 740-nucleotide ribosomal RNA is filed under the name uncultured bacterium. RNAcentral's name for it is "bacterial SSU rRNA". It matches the Rfam family "Bacterial small subunit ribosomal RNA", at positions 8 to 796 of the family's 1533-position model. The record is from RNAcentral.
AGAGUUUGAUCAUGGCUCAGAACGAACGCUGGCGGCAGGCUUAACACAUGCAAGUCGAGCGCACCGCAAGGUGAGUGGCAGACGGGUGAGUAACGCGUGGGACCUUCCCUUUGGUACGGAAUAACUUCGGGAAACCGAAGCUAAUACCGUAUAAGUCCUUCGGGAGAAAGAUUUAUCGCCAAAGGAUGGGCCCGCGUUGGAUUAGCUAGUUGGUAGGGUAAAGGCCUACCAAGGCUACGAUCCAUAGCUGGUCUGAGAGGAUGAUCAGCCACACUGGGACUGAGACACGGCCCAGACUCCUACGGGAGGCAGCAGUGGGGAAUAUUGGACAAUGGGGGCAACCCUGAUCCAGCCAUGCCGCGUGAGUGAAGAAGGCCUUAGGGUUGUAAAGCUCUUUUGGCGGGGACGAUAAUGACGGUACCCGCAGAAUAAGCCCCGGCUAACUUCGUGCCAGCAGCCGCGGUAAUACGAAGGGGGCUAGCGUUGUUCGGAAUCACUGGGCGUAAAGCGCACGCAGGCGGAUUGAUAAGUCAGGGGUGAAAUCCCGGAGCUCAACUUCGGAAUUGCCUUUGAUACUGUCUAUCUUCGAGUUCGGGAGAGGUUGGCGGAAUUCCUAGUGUAGAGGUGAAAUUCGUAGAUAUUAGGAAGAACACCAGUGGCGAAGGCGGCCAACUGGCCCGAUACUGACGCUCAUGUGCGAAAGCGUGGGGAGCAAACAGGAUUAGAUACCCUAGUAGUCC